GCGGCCUAUCAGCUUGUUGGUGGGGUAAUGGCCUACCAAGGCAACGACGGGUAGCUGGUCUGAGAGGAUGAUCAACCACACUGGGACUGAGACACGGCCCAGACUCCUACGGGAGGCAGCAGUGGGGAAUCUUGCGCAAUGGGCGAAAGCCUGACGCAGCAACGCCGCGUGCGGGAUGAAGGCCUUCGGGUUGUAAACCGCUUUCAGCAGGAACGAAAAUGACGGUACCUGCAGAAGAAGGAGCGGCCAACUACGUGCCAGCAGCCGCGGUGACACGUAGGCUCCAAGCGUUGUCCGGAUUUAUUGGGCGUAAAGAGCUCGUAGGCGGUUUAGUAAGUCGGGUGUUAAAACUCUGGGCUCAACCCGGAGACGCCAUCCGAUACUACUAUGACUUGAGUUCAGGAGGGGAGACUGGAAUUCCU
Molecule: ribosomal RNA, 422 nt
Filed under: uncultured Actinomycetes bacterium
Lineage: Bacteria; Bacillati; Actinomycetota; Actinomycetes
Description: bacterial SSU rRNA
Rfam family: Bacterial small subunit ribosomal RNA
Source: RNAcentral